UCAACUUUUUGUUAUUGAAAUUGUAUAAAAUUAUUAAUUAGCUAAUCAACAAUGAAUAUGUUAGGGGGUCGGUACGAUUUUGGACUCCUUUUUAUAGCCAAAUAUAAAAUGUAAUUAUGUGCGGUCUAUGUAUUGCAAGCAUUGCAAAUCGUUGUGUUUUCGCGUAUUAUAAGAAGUGCGCUAAGUACCUAGGCUAAUUAUUUGAUAUGAAAAUCUUGAAAAUGUUGGUUUAAUGUUUUUAGUAAAGAAAAUAAAAUUU
Cinara cedri is the source of this 259-nucleotide non-coding RNA. The record is from the annotation of a GenBank genome assembly. Lineage: Eukaryota; Metazoa; Arthropoda; Insecta; Hemiptera; Aphididae.